ACAAAUGCUGGCAUCUCAGGCAGCUCAAGGAAGAGCAGUCCCACAGAGCCUGAUCAGAAUGCCACACCUGGAAGGGAGGCCCGAUGUCCCUUCCUGCCUCGUCUUCUGAAGAGGCCCUGAGAGGGUUGGACUGCAAUGGCGUGAUCUCGGCUCCCUGCAACCUCCGCCUCCCAGGAUCAAGCGAUUCUCCUGCCUCAGCCUCCCGAGUAGCUGGGAUUACAGGCAUGUACCACCACGCCAGGCUAAUUUUUUGUAUUUUUAGUAGAGACGGGGUUUCUCCAUGUUGGUCAGGCUGGUCUCAAACUCCCGGCCUCAGGUGAUCCGCCCACCUCGGCCUCCCAAAGUAUUGGGAUUACAGGCGUGAGUCACCGUGCCCAGCCCAAAUGUUUUAUAUGUCAACUUUUUACACACUGGAGACCAUCAACCCAAUAAUUUGUGCUGCCAGGUGAGCUUGAUUUUGUGGGGCCCUCAGGAUCAAGUUUCCGCCUCUCUCUGUGUGUAAGUGGCUGAAAUCCCUGAAAUGUGUUAGUGAAGAGGACAUUUUAUUCAUUUAUUUAUUUAAAUUCUGGCCUGAGGCAUAGUGCUCACCUGCCACCGUUCAGGGUCUGUCCAGGAGAGCUACAGCUCAGUGACAGCAUGCACGCCUGUCGGCGAGUCCCUUUACGUAGGUGGGUAACACAUUUUGCUGCGGUAUUACAGCAUAGCUGGGUUUUUGUUUACUUUGUUUGGGAGCCUCUUAUUUGAGACUUGUUUGUCAUGAGGAACAGGAACUGCUGUUAGAUUUGCUAUGAUCCAACCGUGAAAAAAAAAAAAAAAGCUCUUGCCUCAUUUUAAACUUCUAGUGUCUACAUCAUUUAAACUGCAGAUAUCCUGAGAUUUCCAAGUAAGCUGUUAAAAAAACCAAAAACCAACCAAACAAAAAAACCCUGUUGUCACUUAUAGCAACUACAGUUCUUGUGUGUACUGGCUGGAUACUGGGGCUCGGUCAUGUCCACGACUCUCUGCUAUAACCUGUAUUUUCAAAUCUGUGUUAAUUAUUAACAUUUUAGAGUAAUUCUUUUUGAUUUUAAACUUGAACUUAUAAUCUUGUAAAAAGGGUUCUGCUGCUAAAAAAACAAGUUUGAAAACCACUGACUUAGAUGGCAUUCGGGUUGUAUAUGUUUGAGGAAAUGUGAUUAUCUAACGACUGGAAGAAAUAAUUCUGGCAAAAUCCUACGCCAAUCUUCUAUGGUAUAUUAUUUUCCGGCCCUUUGGCAGAAGCUUGAAUAACAGGGCCUGUGACAGGGGCAUCGAAGCAUUGUUUUACACUCAGACUUCACGGAGGCCACGGGCGCUCAAGUGCUUUACGGAAAUCACCAACCUUGAUGGCACCACCACCUCAACCUCGUGAGUAAGGAGGGCAGGGCGCUGUCUUCUUCCUGAAGGGCUUAAACCACGAAAUGUGGUUAUUGUGUCUGUGUGUUGAGAUCUAUCCACUGCUUUCCAUCUUGGCGGAAGUGAUUUGUGGAGAAGGGCAAGAAGGAAUGAAGAUGAGCCUAGGCUCUCUCCUGGUAUCUUCUGCAAGAAGAGAAACGGCACAAGGGCAGGGCCCCAUAUGCCCGGACGCAGUCGGGCACAGGUGGGCUGGGGCCAACUCCAUCUGGGCUCAGGCUUAACUGAGGAGGCCAAAUCAGAGCGCGCAGAGCAGGGCAGGGGGGCAGGGGCACCGCAGGUUCGCUGGGAAACCUUGGACCUUCUUAGGUGAACCCACAUCUCCUUGCUGUGCUUGUCUCACAGUAACACAUCCCAGUCGUCUCAGCCUAUUGGAUGCUAAGUGCUUCAAGUUUUUGCAUGUCCUUUGGUAGCCUGGACUUCAUGCAUUAACAGCAUCAGGUGAGCCCAAACCAAGAACAUCCACAUCCUCACCUUUCUCCCCAUCCCAUCUCUUUGCCUGAAGGUCAUCACUGAGUAGACUGAUAAGCUGCAAUUUCCAGGCCUUAAAGGGCCUGGGAAAGGAGACCUACUUCCAUUCUGGACUCCCUCACUCCCCACCACACAAACUUCAGUCCUACAGGCCAUAGGAAUUCAUCUUGACACCAGGCACUUCCCAUGAGCCCAUGGGUCAGUCUUUGAGCAAGAUCAGAUGGCAGCAGCUGGCCCUGCUCCUGGCCGCCUCCUCCCAGUUCUUCCAUUUCACAGACAGCCUGCCUGUCGGCAGAGGCACCCUGCUCCCCUCUGCCACACUAGAGUGAGGAAGUAAGAGGACACUCCUUUUCUUCAUCCCCAGCUCACAAUUUGAACGCUGAACCUGCAGGCUAUAAAGAGAUGGAAGUUUCCCCAUCCAGAGACUAGACGAAGAUUUGUGGAUGUUUGAGAAGGCAGAGUGGCCACUGCACCCCCGGGGCUGGUCCUGCAGCUUCAAGGUCCUGAACCAACAGGACUUCCUGGGCCGUGGGGCCAGAGACGCCUCAGGCACUCCCUUGCAUUCUCUGUGCCCAACUAUGCUGAGCGCGGCCGCUCAGCUUCCCUGGGUGGAAUGGCAGGAAUGAGCGCACCACACUCUCCAGGGCUUCCUUGCCAGGAGCAGCAGUCACGAGCACAGGGCCCUGCCAGCCACUCCCCGGUGUCUGCUCCACGUCGGCUAGUCACAUGCCCCGAGCCUCUCCAGCCCUGCCCUAAGUGACCAGCGUUCAGCGGACACAGGGCCUGGGUGCCCUCUGGAAAUCUGUGUGUGCUAAGGGUGGCCACAUACUCCCCUGCCAGUGGUGUUGAGGGCUCUGUGGGCAGGAGGGUCCCAGGGAACUAACAACAGGAGGGGGUCUGUGGGAUGCAGGCUGGGGACCUGCUCAGUGCAGUUCUGUGAUGGUUCCUUGCGGUUCAAUCUCCCUCACUCCCAGUUAUUCCCUCCUAGAGUAAAUGGCGGGGUGGGAAGGAGGGGAAGAGCCAGCGCUCGCCAUCAGCAUGCCGGGGACGGAGUUUUGCUCUAUGGGAAACGGCAGCCCAGAGGGGCUGCGGAGCAGGAUGGGCCUGGGGCUGUCUCAGACGGGUAUUUUCUUUUGCUUAACAGGAAGCCCCAAAUCUCAGGGAUGAAGGGCCCCAGAAAAUCCUGCUGGAAAAUGAGCUGAAUUCCAGAUGCUGUGAGGCGGGAAGAGGCGUCUGUGCUGCUGGAGUGGCUCCGGGAUCCUGGUCUGGCAGAAGUGGCUUCCUCCUUCCGAGGCAGGUCAAACCCCAUCCUCACUUCAGAGCCCCUGUUCCCCACACUUAUUUUGAAAGACUUAAGCCCACAGGAAAGUUGAAAGAGGAAGACAAUGAACAUCCAGAUGCCUCUCACCCGUGUCUGCCAAAAGUUACCAUUUUGCCACAUGCUUCAUCUAUAUGUCAUCUUUUAUAUGACCUUUUGUAAUGAAUCAUUGGUAGACACCACGAUGCUCCGUCCCUAAACAUUUUAGGAUGGACUUCCUAAGAACUCAGACGUUUUCCUAUAUAACUUUCCUACAUAAAAGUACAUCAACAGUGCCUUUAUCACUUGCAAGGAACUUAACAAUUUGAUAAUAUUACACAUUUAUACUAUCAUCCAGUCCUCAGCUGAAUUUCUUUAAUUGUUCCCAAAAUGUCCUUUAUGGCUGUUUUUGUUUGGUUUGUUUUCCUCUUUAGCAUCCGUGUCUUGAAAAGGCACAGCACCCAGCUCUCGCUCAAGCUGACUCCACACCAUGCGGAAGUCAGGUCGGCUGCCUGUGGCUCGGCUGUCUCCCAUGUCAUCUGUCUCCUAGGUUGGCCGUCCCCUAGGUCAUCCAUCCCCUAGCUCGACCGUCUCCUCGGUCCUCAGCUGUCCUCUAGGUCGGCUAUCCGCUAGCCUGUCUGUCCCCCAGGCUUGGCUUUGGCUUUAGUAUUCCGUAUGUGACCUCUAGCAAAUGGCUUUGCCUCUGUGGGUGCCCCUGGAGCGUGAGGCCUUAGAGGCCACCCUCUGGCUCUAGGGUUCUAUGGUGUCCAUGGCUUGUUCCUGGGGUCCUGUUCCUGUUCCUCCCUUGCUCCUCGUAUCUGCUGGGCCCUGGGGAGGCUCACCAAGUACCAGCCUUGGCACAGCCAACCCAGGCAGUAGGUGCUUCACAGAUGGAGAAGCAGUGGGCACACUGCCCCCCACAGCAACGUGAGGGAGGUGGGUGGCCAAGCUGACACAAUAGGUUGAAUGUCCACACUGUCACCACUGAGGCAGUGACCUUGGGACCACAUUCUCCAUUCUUUGCUGAUCCCCUAAAGCAGCACCCGUCACCAGUAUUGGGAUGUGUUUAGGGACCCACAUAGAAACCCAGGGGAAUUCUCAGCUCAGCCCCAGUGCAACUGGGAAAGCUUGACAGGGAGCCUUGACGAAGGCACACUCUCCUGGUCCCUGAGAAGGUGCAGAUCCCAACCCUAACUCAGUUGCUGGCCUGGUUGGGGCACAAGGAAGCCUGGCUCUGUAGAGGGUGGAGCAGGAGGAGAGGCCUGGCUCUCUAGAGUCUUCUAGGAGAGGGGCCAAAGAGCUGGAAAGGCCAAGGGAAACGAAUGCACCACGGAGGGGAUGAGAAAUAAAGCAUCCGGUUUGCUGAGUUAUUUAAAGAGGAACUGGGUCAGGCUGCAGGAGCCAUCUUCACCGAAUGGGCACAUGACGGGCUCAGGCGCACCGUGGCCCACCCUGACUGGGCUAUUGGAUGGCAGGAGAGGGCAGACUCAAGUCCAAGCCCCAGAAGCCUUGCAAUGAAGGCAUGCUACAUUCUGGAGAAGCUUUUCACGCAAAAGGGAGGCAGGAAGCAGGAGACAGCCGGGCUGCCCCCAGCCAGGAGGAGGAGCACAAGCCCCAGGGCUGGACAGUGGAGGUGGGGUGACGUGAUGCUCCGCAGAGCUCCGCCCACCCUGUAUGCUGACAGGUGCCUGUUAGAGUGUGCUGAUUCCUCUCCCUCCCCCUUCACUGGAUCCACCCAAAGUCGUGGGCUCUGGAAAGUGAGGGGCUGAGUCAGACCUAGCAGCCCUGCAGGUCAGUUCCUGGACCAGUCCUUUAAGAUGACAAACCCUCCCUAACUAUCAAACCCACCAAACGGGCAGGACCAGGCACAAUGCUCAGUGUCUGAGGUCCCAGCUCCUGCCAGCAGCCCUGGACUGUGCAGUGUUCUCCAGGCCCUGGGGCUGGCAGGCUGCUCCCUGCGGGAUCACCUAUGAAGAAGCAGACAAUGCCAGGCUGCCUCCUCCAGGGAAGGGGAGCGUGACGCAGCAAUGGCUCCAGUCUUCUCUUCUUGACAAGAAAUCAGAGCCCUUGCUGUGGAUGCCAAUGGCCCCAGCUCCCAUGUAGAAAGCCCAGCAUGACCGCCUCAGUGCAUAGGGCUGGGUCAGCAGUCAGCUGGCUAUGCGCCACUAGCUGUCCAUCCCUGGCUUCAGGUUUGCUUUCCCUCUCCUCUACCCUACCAAAGCCCAAUAGUAAACAGACAGGGCCCCAGGCCCUGUGAAGCCCCCCUGCCUGACUACCCACCUCUCGC
This is a long non-coding RNA of Symphalangus syndactylus (siamang), 5486 nucleotides long. RefSeq lists it as uncharacterized. Lineage: Eukaryota; Metazoa; Chordata; Mammalia; Primates; Hylobatidae. The record is from RefSeq and is a predicted model, not a curated record.